GAUGAACGCUGGCGGCGUGCCUAAUACAUGCGAGUCGAGCGAACAGAUAAGGAGCUUGCGCCUUUGACGUUAGCGGCGGACGGGUGAGUAACACGUGGGUAACCUACCUAUAAGACUGGUAUAACUCCGGGAAACCGGGGCUAAUGCCGGAUAACAUUUAGAACCGCAUGGUUCUAAAGUGAAAGUUGGUUGUUCUAUCACUUAUAGAUGGACCCGCGCCGGAUUAGCAAGUUGGUAAGGUAACGGCUUACCAAGGCAACGAUACGUAGCCGACCUGAAAGGGUGAUCGGCCACACUGGCUCUGAGACACGCUCCAGACUCCUGCGGGAGGCCGCAGUAGGGACUCUUACGCGAUGGGCGAGAGGCUGACGGAGCAACGCCGCGUGAGUGAUGACGGUCUUCGGAUCGUAAAACUCUGUUAGUAGUGAAGAACAAAUGUGUAAGUAACUGUGCACGUCUUGACGGUACCUAGUCAGAAAGCCACGGCUAACUACGUG
This 497-nucleotide ribosomal RNA is filed under the name uncultured bacterium. RNAcentral's name for it is "partial 16S ribosomal RNA". It matches the Rfam family "Bacterial small subunit ribosomal RNA", at positions 28 to 507 of the family's 1533-position model. The record is from RNAcentral.